This 4558-nucleotide long non-coding RNA is filed under the name Pan troglodytes (chimpanzee). RNAcentral's name for it is "long non-coding RNA NONPTRT010223". Lineage: Eukaryota; Metazoa; Chordata; Mammalia; Primates; Hominidae. The record is from RNAcentral.
GUCUCCCUAUGUUUCCCAGGCUGGCCUCGAACUCCUGACCUCAAGUGAUCCUCCCACCUCAGCCUCCCAGAGUGCUGGGAUUAAAGACGUGAGCCACGGCACCUGGCCUGAAUUUUCCUCAAAUUCAAAAAAUGCUGAUGAAGGUUUGGCUAAAAUCUUUGGUGAGUUACCCCACUCCCUGUGGAACCUCAGGCUGGAUUUGAAGAGUUGCGUGCAUGGUCCUCAUUGUCUCCCAGGUAACCUGUUCCCGCUGCUGUGAAGGGAAGGCAGGUGCUCUUCCUUGAGGCUAGAAUCUGUCUACGUGUCACAGUCUCAGGAAAUUAAGCAAAACAGAUGAUAAACACCUCAAAAGGACCCUACUGAGCAUGAGUGGAGCAGACCAGGGCCAUAUGGGACUGCGGCGUCAGAUGCCACCUCACACUAGCUGUGACACACCUGCCUCGCCAGUUUCUGCUCUGAGGCCCCAAAGCCAAGCUGAACCUCCUCCAGGGGUUCUCAGCCCUAACUGAGCAUGAGAACCCCUGGGGCAAUCCUCUUUUUAACAAUUGAGACAUUCCACACACACCCCACAUCAGAUUUUGGGGUGUGGGGAUAGACCUUCACAUUUGUAGUUUUCUAACCCUCCAGGGGACACUAGGCUGAGACUCAUUGGUCUCCACUCUGAACCUUCCAUUGAACAUGUGAGAAAAACUAAGGCCCAGGGAAGUCUUUAGCAGAGAGCUGAGACGGAGAAAAGGGUUCUGAACCACAGCUGUCUGCUGAAGGAAGCUGUCCAAAGGCCAGUGAAGUCUCUCCUGAGGGUGCCUGGGCUGUGCAUCAGGAGUGAAGGUUGAGGGUCACCUUAGGUGUGAGAAGGAGCAACUGGGAGAGUGGCGCUGAUGCUUCCCCCCGGGUUAGGAGGCAUUUGGAUCACAGAGCGAUGCCUGUUCAUUCCUGCUUGCAAGGGAGCAGAUCUCUCGACACCCGAUGGGCCUCUAUUCCGUUCCGGCAGCUGUCGGUGUCAGGAGCGCUGGGCUUGCUCCUCCCCACGGGAGCCAUCACAGAGGCCUCGGGCAGUCUGCAUAGACAACUGCCUGGCAGGUGACCAGGAGGGGAUGCAUGAGUAGAUGCAGGUAGCACUCGCAGUCCCCCUAGCUGUGCCCUCAGCACCUGCUGUCUAGGAGGCAGAAGCCUUGUUCUCGGCCUUGCAGGUGACCCCAGUGUCUCUGAAUUCGGCCCCAUAUGUGUAGGAGGGGAGUGAUUGCAUCUGAAGAUGGGAGUCCGGUUGGGGGUUUGGGAAGCUCCCAUCACCCCUCAAGAGUCCACUGACCAGCCCAGCUCACACCAGGUGGGCCUUGGCAUUGGAGGCCACGGCUCAACUCUGCAGUUCCCUCUGGGCAGCAUUUCCAGGGACUCGUAGGUCAGCACGGUCAUCAAGGACGGGUGGUGAGAGCAGCUCCUCAUUGUCCUGGUGACCCCGAUGGUUCAUUUUCUGGUGUCUCUGUGGUGAGCUCCUGUUACAUCAAGCGAGUGGAAACCACCGAGGACCAACAGCCCUGGAAAUGCACUGAGAAUGCAGGAUGAGUGGGGUUUGUGAGGACUGUUUUCUGUGACUUAGCAAGGAAAGCCUGGAAGGGAAAGUAAAACUGCUUCUUCCCAGGGAAGCCAGAAACCUAAGAACUUAAAAGGGAAGGAGAACUUAAUAUAUUUCAAAAAUGUAACCCUUGUGAAUUAGCAACAGCUUUAUAAACAAAGAGAUUUCCGAGCUUAUAGAAUCUAUUCUGCUUUGUUUCUGCCCCCAUGGCUCCUACCCCUGUUUUUGUGGGUGCAAUUUUCAGAUAGAACAUUUUUACACAAGCUUCAAAACUCUCUGAGGACAGCUUUCCCCUUUGCGUCUGUCGGGUCCCAGGCAGUCACAUCCCAGGAAGUGCUGGGGUUGGGCUCCUUGCUCCACAUCCUUCUUCAGUGGCACGAAGCGUGGGGUGGAGUGUGUGAGUCAUGUGUGAUCUUGGUGUGGGCUAUGGCUGGUCUGCAGCACCCCUUCAAUGACUGCUUCAAGGGCUUUUCAUGAUGCUUGUAGCUCAUGAGCUAGUGUUUCCUAGACGCUGUUUCCAGGUGUCUUGCAUGUCACACACUGGCCUACCAGGGCUGGAGUGAGAUCAUGAGCGCCAGAUUGUUGGUGAAGGAAGUUGACAGAGACAUCGAAUGUCGGUGAACAGGAGUGACCUUGGGUCUCAAUAAAUACUGUGGUCUACUGAAUCCAGAACCCACCCUUACCAGCAGGGCCCACUUCUUCCCCAGCAGGCCGAGCUCUUCCCCUCCUGUCUUCCCUGGCCCUUGCUUUGUAGCUCUGUGUGGCUGUGUCAUGUCUGGUUGUAUCUGUGUAUACUUCUGCCUCUCCCGCUAUCUAGAUGGCUCGGGGAGGCACACCACACACCAGGUCACCUUCCUCUCUGAACCCCCAGCACCUCAUACUGUUUCUGUGCAGAGAUAAGGCUGGGUGAAAGCUUGUGUGAAUGAUCUGAAGUCUUCUACUCUAGGCCAGUCUCCAGGAGCAUUAUGAUCUUUAGGAGGGUGGGCUUGGUUCCUCUGUACAAUAAUGGGUCAUAAAACUGAGUGGUCAAGAUCAUCCCGGUGAGGGCAGUCCGUGUGUUGCCAUAGUUGCUGUACCGGUUAAGAAUGCACCUGGCUGCAAUUUCCUGAAAACCUGACGUAUAGUGGCUUAAACAAAGAGUGGUUUAUUUUCCUUCUGUCAUAGCAAUCUGGGGGAGGCCACUGUGGCUUUGGCGCAGGAGGUCGGGAAAGGCCCGCUUCUCUGAUAUCACUGGGGGCCUCCCCAGUGCUUGUGUGGCAGAAUGACAAGAGGAAGAAGAAGGAGAAUUAUGGCACUGAGUAUCAUGAGAUUUGGGGUCAUAUAUCUUUAGUGGGCGGUGUUUGCUGCCCCAAAUGUCUCAUGCCAUUAAAAUGUUCUGGAAAUGAUUUAGGUAGUUGGAGUUUCCUUCCCAAAGACAAGGCAUUUACAGCAUGAUGUCCAAUAUCCAUUGAGUUUGUGUCAUGCAUUCAUUGUAUUCAUAGUCUGCUUUAGGUACUUAGCAAAAUAUUGCUGAUAUUAACAUGCCUUUGUUUGCUUCACUGGAGAUGAAAUUGUGCUCCAAGUGUUUUCCAAGGUUCCGUAUGACCCAUCAUUUGAUGAAACAAGAACAGCAGUCAGAUCCAUUACAAAGAGAGACACACAAAAAAACUAUGUGAAAAUGAGCUUAGCCCCUGGUGUUGUGUUGGAACUUCAGAUGCUUGCAGACACUUCAUGAAUGCUCUGUGACACUCAGAAUAGGCUCUUCCCAACAAAAGAGCUUGAACAAUGCUGCAUUUGCCUCAGGUUCAAAUGAGCGAGAGGAACAUUUGGCUAAAAUAUUUGGAACCAGCGUUGCUUGGAAUUCUCCUAAACCAGAAUAUUUCCUUGGCAGUGUGGACAAAAUUCCUGAUAAAGAUCACCUUUCAGAGGAGAAGAAUUUUAAAGAAUCCUGUCUGUUCCACAGGGAUUUAAGAGAGCAGUUAACUACUGUAGAUAAAGAAACACUUCAAGGAGCAGCUAAACCAGAUGCUCACUUUAGGACUAUGCCCUGCGGGCAGCUUCUGCACUUCCUGCAGAAAAACACCAUCAUCGCCACCGUCUCAGGGGUGGCCAUCCUCAUGGCCAUCGUGCUGUUGCUGCUUGGGUUGGCCUCAUACAUCAGGAAGAAACAGCCAUCGUGAGUGGUGCUGGCAUAACCUUCCUUCCAAGAACCCGCGGGUGUUAGAACUCACGCUGCCCUCAGGGCUUCCUGCUGGUCUGGUUUAUGAGGAGGGCAGAAGCUGCAAGCCUGGUUGUGCUUCAGCAUCCCCUGGCCUGCUCUGUCAAAGCACACAGGACCUGGGCCAUGGGUUUUAGGCACAGCCUGGGUGAUUCUGAUGCACACCCGGGUUUGGGGAUCCCUGGGUGGGCCAGGGUUGCCUCUCAAGGCCACUACGGUUAGGCCAGACCUGUCCCCAUAUUGAGGGCUCUGGCUGAAAGAUUGGUAAAUAGGAAUAUGGAUUUACAAAAGAAAGGAAAAAUACAAAUCUAAUAGGGUGAGGAGGGCUGAAGCCACGAAGGAGAGUGAGAGCAGGGCUGAUAUUCAGCUCCUUCACAUUGGCACAGCUGCCCUGCUUGUUAGAACACUGAAAGCCUUCCCUGAGCUUCCCACUGACCUCCUGAUCUUCUCCGUGAUCCUGCAAAUGAAGGAUUAGUGCCUGGCACAGCCGUGGCCCUCCAAGGCUCUGCUUCAGUGGUGGUCAUUUUGACUGGUCAGUGCCUGUCUACACCAGUUGUUAAAUAUUUUGGUUAGGCCUCUAGAUGAGGGGGCUCAGGCACAGAGGCACUCACCAUGAGCAGGCGCUAGGAAGCAAAUGGUUUGCACGAUGACAUGUAUGCAUAGCUGCAUUUUGAAAUUACGUGCUUCUUGCUGCGUCCCCAGGGACAUGUAUUCUUGACCGCAGAAGGAAGAGCAGCUCCCCACAUCCCCUCAGUCCUGCCUGACACUGCACUGAAUGCUCAGCUUGC